Dipodomys ordii (Ord's kangaroo rat) is the source of this 107-nucleotide small nuclear RNA. The record is from Ensembl. NCBI's taxonomy places the organism in Eukaryota, Metazoa, Chordata, Mammalia, Rodentia, Heteromyidae.
UGUCUCACUUCGGCAGCAAUAUACUAAAGUUUGGAGUGAUACAGAGAAGAUUAGCAUGACCCCUGUGCAGAGAUGACAUGCAAAAUCAUGACGUAUUCCAUAUUUAA